Molecule: transfer RNA, 84 nt
Filed under: Felis catus (domestic cat)
Lineage: Eukaryota; Metazoa; Chordata; Mammalia; Carnivora; Felidae
Rfam family: tRNA
About the family: Transfer RNA (tRNA) molecules are approximately 80 nucleotides in length. Their secondary structure includes four short double-helical elements and three loops (D, anti-codon, and T loops).
Source: Rfam by way of RNAcentral
GCCUGAGUGGCUCAGUUAAUAAGCAUCUGACUUCGGCUCAGAUCAUGAUCCCAUGGUUUGUGGGUUCGAGCCCCACGUCGGGUU